UUGACCUCAAAUCGGGUAGGACUACCCGGUGAACUUACGCAUAUCAAU
Molecule: ribosomal RNA, 48 nt
Filed under: uncultured Amanita
Lineage: Eukaryota; Fungi; Basidiomycota; Agaricomycetes; Agaricales; Amanitaceae
Description: partial 28S ribosomal RNA
Source: RNAcentral